UGGAUCCAGACUUUGAUUAUGGCUCAGGAUGAACGCCAGCUACAGGCUCAACACAUGCAAGUCGAGGGGAAACGACAUCGAAAGCUUGCUUUUGAUGGGUGUCGACCGGCGCACGGGCGAGUAACGCGUAUCCAACCUGCCCACCACUUGGGGAUAACCUUGCGAAAGUAAGACUAAUACCCAAUGAUAUCCCACGAAGGCAUCCGAAUGGGAUUAAAGAUUUAUCGGUGAUGGAUGGGGAUGCGUCUGAUUAGCUUGUUGGCGGGGUAACGGCCCACCAAGGCUACGAUCAGUAGGGGUUCUGAGAGGAAGGUCCCCCACAUUGGAACUGAGACACGGUCCAAACUCCUACGGGAGGCAGCAGUGAGGAAUAUUGGUCAUGGGCGAGAGCCUGAACCAGCCAAGUAGCGUGCAGGAUGACGGCCCUAUGGGUUGUAAACUGCUUUUAUAAGGGAAUAAAGUGAGUCUCGUGAGACUUUUUGCAUGUACCUUAUGAAUAAGGACCGGCUAAUUCCGUGCCAGCAGCCGCGGUAAUACGGAAGGUCCGGGCGUUAUCCGGAUUUAUUGGGUUUAAAGGGAGCGUAGGCCGGAGAUUAAGCGUGUUGUGAAAUGUAGUGGCUCAACCUCUGCACUGCAGCGCGAACUGGUCUUCUUGAGUACGCACAACGUGGGCGGAAUUCGUGGUGUAGCGGUGAAAUGCUUAGAUAUCACGAAGAACUCCGAUUGCGAAGGCAGCUCACGGGAGCGCAACUGACGCUGAAGCUCGAAAGUGCGGGUAUCGAACAGGAUUAGAUACCCUGGUAGUCCGCACGGUAAACGAUGGAUGCCCGCUGUUGGCCUGAAUAGGUCAGCGGCCAAGCGAAAGCAUUAAGCAUCCCACCUGGGGAGUACGCCGGCAACGGUGCAACUCAAAUGAAUUGACGGA
RNAcentral lists this ribosomal RNA (925 nucleotides) under uncultured Bacteroidota bacterium. RNAcentral's name for it is "bacterial SSU rRNA". It matches the Rfam family "Bacterial small subunit ribosomal RNA", at positions 1 to 917 of the family's 1533-position model. Lineage: Bacteria; Pseudomonadati; Bacteroidota. The record is from RNAcentral.